GGCCAGUUGGCGCAAUGGUAGCGUGUGGCUCUCCUAAAGCCGAGGUUGUGGGUUCGAGUCCCAUGCUGGUCG
This 72-nucleotide transfer RNA is filed under the name Podospora anserina S mat+. Its description in RNAcentral is "tRNA-Arg (CCT) (tRNA-Arg-CCT-2-1)". It matches the Rfam family "tRNA". Rfam says of the family: Transfer RNA (tRNA) molecules are approximately 80 nucleotides in length. Their secondary structure includes four short double-helical elements and three loops (D, anti-codon, and T loops). Further hydrogen bonds mediate the characteristic L-shaped molecular structure. tRNAs have two regions of fundamental functional importance: the anti-codon, which is responsible for specific mRNA codon recognition, and the 3' end, to which the tRNAs corresponding amino acid is attached (by aminoacyl-tRNA synthetases). tRNAs cope with the degeneracy of the genetic code in two manners: having more than one tRNA (with a specific anti-codon) for a particular amino acid; and 'wobble' base-pairing, i.e. permitting non-standard base-pairing at the 3rd anti-codon position. The record is from RNAcentral. Lineage: Eukaryota; Fungi; Ascomycota; Sordariomycetes; Sordariales; Podosporaceae.